GACGAACGCUGGCGGCGUGCCUAAUACAUGCAAGUAGAACGCUGAAGGAGGAGCUUGCUCUUCUGGAUGAGUUGCGAACGGGUGAGUAACGCGUAGGUAACCUGCCUGGUAGCGGGGGAUAACUAUUGGAAACGAUAGCUAAUACCGCAUAACAGUAGAUGUUGCAUGACAUUUACUUAAAAGGUGCAAUUGCAUCACUACCAGAUGGACCUGCGUUGUAUUAGCUAGUUGGUGGGGUAACGGCUCACCAAGGCGACGAUACAUAGCCGACCUGAGAGGGUGAUCGGCCACACUGGGGCUGAGACACGGCCCAGACUCCUACGGGAGGCAGCAGUAGGGAAUCUUCGGCAAUGGACGGAAGUCUGACCGAGCAACGCCGCGUGAGUGAAGAAGGUUUUCGGAUCGUAAAGCUCUGUUGUAAGAGAAGAACGAGUGUGAGAGUGGAAAGUUCACACUGUGACGGUAUCUUACCGGAAAGGGACGGCUAACUACGUG
Molecule: ribosomal RNA, 495 nt
Filed under: uncultured bacterium
Lineage: Bacteria
Description: partial 16S ribosomal RNA
Rfam family: Bacterial small subunit ribosomal RNA
Source: RNAcentral